GAUGACAGAGUUUUAGUCAGAGUUUCUCUCAAACAGCAGCUGGAGGUUCCAACAAUUAAUGAGACAUCGGAGUCUGAAUUAUCUGCUCAAGGAGCGCUUCCACCUCUAGCUUCUGGUUCACCACCUUUACCCUUGGAUUCUCCGCCUUCUCCUCCGCCCUUACCUCCAUCGCCACCCCCACCUUCUCCUCCCCCGCCACCACUGUCACCACCACCACCACCACCUCCACCACCACUGCCUCCAUCAUCAUAUCCGCAACUUCUAUC
Molecule: long non-coding RNA, 266 nt
Filed under: Spirodela polyrhiza (greater duckweed)
Lineage: Eukaryota; Viridiplantae; Streptophyta; Magnoliopsida; Alismatales; Araceae
Description: long non-coding RNA (SPOL_LNC000308)
Source: RNAcentral